This 328-nucleotide ribosomal RNA is filed under the name uncultured cyanobacterium. RNAcentral's name for it is "bacterial SSU rRNA". It matches the Rfam family "Bacterial small subunit ribosomal RNA", at positions 8 to 339 of the family's 1533-position model. Lineage: Bacteria; Bacillati; Cyanobacteriota. The record is from RNAcentral.
AGAGUUUGAUCAGUGGCUCAGGACGAACGCUGGCGGCGUGCUUCAUACAUGCAAGUCGAACGAGAAGUUAUCUUCGGAUAAUGGACAGUGGCGGACGGGUGAGUAAUGUGUAGAGAAUCUGCCCUAUAGAGGGGGAUAGCAGUUGGAAACGACUAUUAAUACCCCAUAUGCGCGUAGUUGAGAUACUAUUCGUGAAAGAUUUAUCGCUAUAGGAUGAGUCUGCAUCUGAUUAGCUAGUUGGGGGUGUAAUGGACCACCAAGGCGACGAUCAGUAGCUGGUUUGAGAGGAUGAUCAGCCACAAUGGGACUGAGACACGGCCCAUACUCC